GACGGGGGGUGCAAGCGUUGUUCGGAAUCAUUGGGCGUAAAGCGCGUGCAGGUGGCUUGUAAAGUCAGAUGUGAAAGCCCCGGGCUUAACCCGGGAAGUGCAUUUGAAACUCACAAGCUUGAGUAUGGAAGAGGGUCGUGGAAUUCCAGGUGUAGUGGUGAAAUACGUAGAUAUCUGGAGGAACACCGGUGGCGAAGGCGGCGAACCUGGUCCAAUACUGACACUCAUACGCGAAAGCGUGGGGAUCAAACAGG
This 254-nucleotide ribosomal RNA is filed under the name uncultured bacterium. RNAcentral describes it as "partial 16S ribosomal RNA". It matches the Rfam family "Bacterial small subunit ribosomal RNA", at positions 524 to 776 of the family's 1533-position model. The record is from RNAcentral.